RNAcentral lists this ribosomal RNA (399 nucleotides) under uncultured bacterium. RNAcentral describes it as "partial 16S ribosomal RNA". It matches the Rfam family "Bacterial small subunit ribosomal RNA", at positions 360 to 776 of the family's 1533-position model. The record is from RNAcentral.
AAUAUUGCACAAUGGGCGAAAGCCUGAUGCAGCAACGCCGCGUGAGGUAUGAAGGCUUUCGGGUCGUAAAGCGCUUGGAUCAGGGAAGAUAAUGACGGUACCUGAAAAAAAAGCCACUGUUAACUACGUUCCUGCAGCCGCGGUAAUACGUAGGUGGCGAGCGUUGUCCGGAAUUACUGGGCGUAAAGGAUGCGUAGGUGGAUACUUAAGUGGGAAGUGAAAUCACCGGGCUCAAACCGGGAACUGCAUUCCAAACUGGGUAUCGAGAGUGCAGGAGAGAAAAGCGGAAUUCCUAGUGUAGCGGUGAUAUGCGUAGGUAUUAGGAGGAACACCAGUGGCGAAGGCGGCUUUCUGGACUGUAACUGACAAUGAGGCAUGAAAGCGUGGGUAGCAAACAGG